UGAGUGUAGGGUUAGAUGGUAGAUGGUAGGGUAUUUAAAUAGUGUAGUAGGGUGGUAGGUGGUAAUGAGUGUAGGGUUAGAUAGUAGAUGGUAAUGAGUGUAGGGUUAGAUGGUAGAUGGUAAUGAGUGUAGGGUUAGAUGGUAGAUGGUAAUGAGUGUAGGGUUAGAUGGUAGAUGGUAAUGAGUGUAGGGGUAGAUGGUAGAUGGUAAUGAGUGUAGGGUUAGAUGGUAGAUGGUAAUGAGUGUAGGGUUAGAUGGUAGAUGGUAGGGUAUUUAAAUAGUGUAGUAGGGUGGUAGGUGGUAAUGAGUGUAGGGGUAGAUGGUAGGGUAUUUAAAUAGUGUAGUAGGGUGGUAGAUGGUAAUGAGUGUAGGGUUAGAUGGUAGAUGGUAAUGAGUGUAUGGGUAGAUGGUAGAUGGUAAUGAGUGUAGGGUUAGAUGGUAGGUGGUAAUGAGUGUAGGGGUAGAUGGUAGAUGGUAAUGAGUGUAGGGUUAGAUGGUAGAUGGUAAUGAGUGUAGGGUUAGAUAGUAGAUGGUAAUGAGUGUAGGGUUAGAUGGUAGAUGGUAAUGAGUGUAGGGUGAGAUGUUAGAUGGUAAUGAGUGUAGGGUGAGAUGGUAGAUGGUAAUGAGUGUAGGGUUAGAUGGUAGAUGGUAAUGAGUGUAGGGUUAGAUGGUAGAUGGUAGGGUAUUUAAAUAGUGUAGUAGGGUGGUAGAUGGUAAUGAGUGUAGGGUUAGAUGGUAGGUGGUAAUGAGUGUAGGGUUAGAUAGUAGAUGGUAAUGAGUGUAGGGUUAGAUGGUAGAUGGUAAGGUAUUUAAAUAGUGUAGUAGGGUGGUAGAUGGUAAUGAGUUUAGGGUUAGAUAGUAGAUGGUAUUGAGUGUAGGGUUAGAUGGUAGAUGUUAAUGAGUGUAGGGUUAGAUGGUAGAUGGUAAUGAGUGUAGGGUUAGAUGGUAGGUGGUAAUGAGUGUAGGGUUAGAUGGUAGAUGGUAAUGAGUGUAGGGUUAGAUGGUAGGGUAUUUAAAUAGUGUAGUAGGGUGGUAGAUGGUAAUGAGUGUAGGGUUAGAUGGUAGAUGGUAAUGAGUGUAGGGUUAGAUAGUAGAUGGUAAUGAGUGUAGGGUUAGAUGAUAGGUGGUAAUGAGUGUAGGGUUAGAUAGUAGAUGGUAAUGAGUGUAGGGUUAGAUGGUAGAUGGUAAUGAGUGUAGGGUUAGAUGGUAGAUGGUAAUGAGUGUAGGGUUAGAUGGUAGGUGGUAAUGAGUGUAGGGUUAGAUGGUAGAUGGUAAUGAGUGUAGGGUUAGAUAGUAGAUGGUAAUGAGUGUAGGGUUAGAUGGUAGAUGUUAAUGAGUGUAGGGUUAGAUGGUAGAUGGUAAUGAGUGUAGGGUUAGAUGGUAGAUGUUAAUGAGUGUAGGGUUAGAUGGUAGAUGGUAAUGAGUGUAGGGUUAGAUGGUAGAUGGUAAUGAGUGUAGGGUUAGAUGGUAGAUGGUAAUGAGUGUAGGGUUAGAUGGCAGAUGGUAAUGAGUGUAGGGUUAGAUGGUAGAUGGUAGGAAUAUUUGUUGAUUUAUUCAUUUUUAGUUUCAAGCAAAGUGUAAAGGAGUUAAACUCCAGUCUAGUAAGUGGCGGUAAUGCAACAUUUAUUGGAUGCCCAACACUGUUAAACCUCCUCGAUAAAGGUGAAAAAUAAUAAAUAAUAAUAAAUAAUAAUAAAGGUGAAGAAAAGAAAAUGGAAGAAGAACGUUGAACUGCACCGCUAGAUGGCAGCAGAUCACCUGGUGUCAAGCAGUCUGAUAGCGCAGAGGUUUGGUCCAAGAAGACCUGUAGUCUGUGAUGUUAUUCCCUCCUCCUCCUCCAUGUGAUGUUAUUCCCUCCUCCUCCUCUAUGUGAUGUUAUUCCCUCCUCCUCCUCCUCCGUGUGAUGUUAUUCCCUCCUCCAUGUGAUGUUAUUCCCUCCUCCUCCUCCUCCAUGUGAUGUUAUUCCCUCCUCCUCCUCCAUGUGAUGUUAUUC
Molecule: long non-coding RNA, 1993 nt
Filed under: Salmo salar (Atlantic salmon)
Lineage: Eukaryota; Metazoa; Chordata; Actinopteri; Salmoniformes; Salmonidae
Description: lncRNA (ENSSSAG00000104467.1)
Source: RNAcentral